Molecule: ribosomal RNA, 489 nt
Filed under: uncultured soil bacterium
Lineage: Bacteria
Description: bacterial SSU rRNA
Rfam family: Bacterial small subunit ribosomal RNA
Source: RNAcentral
GAGUUUGAUCCUGGCUCAGGAUAAACGCUGGCGGCGUGCAUGAGACAUGCAAGUCGAACGAACGAGCUUGCUCGUUAGUGGCGGACGGCUGAGUAACGCGUAGGUGACCUGCCCCGAAGUGGGGGAUAACUGCCCGAAAGGGUGGCUAAUACCGCAUGUGGCGACACUUUCAUUGGUGUCAUCAAAGCCGCGAGGCGCUUCGGGAGGGGCCUGCGUCCGAUUAGCUCGUUGGUGGGGUAAUGGCUCACCAAGGCGACGAUCGGUAGGUGGUCUGAGAGGACGAUCACCCAGACUGGGACUGAGACACGGCCCAGACUCCUACGGGAGGCAGCAGUCGGGAAUUUUGCUCAAUGGGCGCAAGCCUGAAGCAGCAACGCCGCGUGCGGGAUGAAGGCCUUCGGGUUGUAAACCGCUUUUACCAGGGACGAUAAUGACGGUACCUGAUGAAUAAGUCACGGCUAACUACGUGCCAGCAGCCGCGGUAAUACG